GAUGAACGCUGGCGGCGUGCUUAACACAUGCAAGUCGAACGGGAAACCUUUUAUUGAAGCUUCGGCAGAUUUAGCUGGUUUCUAGUGGCGGACGGGUGAGUAACGCUUGGGUAACCUGCCUUAUACAGGGGGAUAACAACCAGAAAUGGUUGCUAAUACCGCAUAAGCGCACAGGACCGCAUGGUCCGGUGUGAAAAACUCCGGUGGUCUAAGAUGGACCCGCGUUGGAUUAGCUAGUUGGCAGGGUAACGGCCUACCAAGGCGACGAUCCAUAGCCGGCCGGGGAGGGUGAACGGCCACAUUGGGACUGAGACACGGCCCAGACUCCUACGGGAGGCAGCAGUGGGGAAUAUUGCACAAUGGGGGAAAGCCUGAUGCAGCGACGCCGCGUGAAGGAAGAAGUAUCUCGGGAUGUAAACUUCUAUCAGCAGGGAAGAUAGUGACGGUACCUGACUAAGAAGCCCCGGCUAACUACGUG
Molecule: ribosomal RNA, 478 nt
Filed under: uncultured bacterium
Lineage: Bacteria
Description: partial 16S ribosomal RNA
Rfam family: Bacterial small subunit ribosomal RNA
Source: RNAcentral